CUCAAACAUCAUCUUUAUACGACAAACAAAAAUCCCAAUCGCUUCCACCGAAGAAUGAAGGACACGUGAAAUAAAAGCAGUUUCCUUCUAGCGAACACCUUUUCCCACUGGUUGGAUUCAGCCAUACUCUAAUGUAUCAAAUAAUUUCGCAAUGUCCUACUACAAAUCAUGUCUAAUGACAAACCAUUUAAAUCUAAAUCCUUCUCAAUGGUUGAACCAAUAAUUUUCAUUGGUCUCCCUCUGCCUCUAAUAAUUAGACUAUCCUACAUAUGAUCUACUCACUUUAUGGAGGCUUUUCCAAGUAGUUCUCUUUGAAGU
This 318-nucleotide long non-coding RNA is filed under the name Trifolium pratense (red clover). Its description in RNAcentral is "long non-coding RNA (TPRA_LNC011202)". The record is from RNAcentral. Lineage: Eukaryota; Viridiplantae; Streptophyta; Magnoliopsida; Fabales; Fabaceae.